CGUAUCACUUAAAGCGAUUCAGCGGGUUACGAUUGACGGAGCGAAGCGACGUCAAAGCGUAUACAAAGUCGAGUCGGUUUAAGGAUACGUUCGUUGGGUAGGGGAGCGUUCUGUAAGCCUGCGAAGGUGGCCUGUGAGGGUUGCUGGAGGUAUCAGAAGUGCGAAUGCUGACAUAAGUAACGAUAAAGCGGGUGAAAAGCCCGCUCGCCGGAAGACCAAGGGUUCCUGUCCAACGUUAAUCGGGGCAGGGUGAGUCGACCCCUAAGGCGAGGCCGAAAGGCGUAGUCGAUGGGAAACGGGUUAAUAUUCCCGUACUUGGUGUUACUGCGAAGGGGGGACGGAGAAGGCUAUGUUGGCCGGGCGACGGUUGUCCCGGUUUAAGCGUGUAGGCUGGUUUUCCAGGCAAAUCCGGAAAAUCAAGGCUGAGGCGUGAUGACGAGGCACUACGGUGCUGAAGCAACAAAUGCCCUGCUUCCAGGAAAAGCCUCUAAGCAUCAGGUAACAUCAAAUCGUACCCCAAACCGACACAGGUGGUCAGGUAGAGAAUACCAAGGCGCUUGAGAGAACUCGGGUGAAGGAACUAGGCAAAAUGGUGCCGUAACUUCGGGAGAAGGCACGCUGACACGUAGGUGAAGUGAUUUACUCAUGGAGCUGAAGUCAGUCGAAGAUACCAGCUGGCUGCAACUGUUUAUUAAAAACACAGCACUGUGCAAACACGAAAGUGGACGUAUACGGUGUGACGCCUGCCCGGUGCCGGAAGGUUAAUUGAUGGGGUCAGCGCAAGCGAAGCUCCUGAUCGAAGCCCCGGUAAACGGCGGCCGUAACUAUAACGGUCCUAAGGUAGCGAAAUUCCUUGUCGGGUAAGUUCCGACCUGCACGAAUGGCGUAAUGAUGGCCAGGCUGUCUCCACCCGAGACUCAGUGAAAUUGAACUCGCUGUGAAGAUGCAGUGUACCCGCGGCAAGACGGAAAGACCCCGUGAACCUUUACUAUAGCUUGACACUGAACAUUGAGCCUUGAUGUGUAGGAUAGGUGGGAGGCUUUGAAGUGUGGACGCCAGUCUGCAUGGAGCCGACCUUGAAAUACCACCCUUUAAUGUUUGAUGUUCUAACGUGGACCCGUAAUCCGGGUUGCGGACAGUGUCUGGUGGGUAGUUUGACUGGGGCGGUCUCCUCCUAAAGAGUAACGGAGGAGCACGAAGGUUGGCUAAUCCUGGUCGGACAUCAGGAGGUUAGUGCAAUGGCAUAAGCCAGCUUGACUGCGAGCGUGACGGCGCGAGCAGGUGCGAAAGCAGGUCAUAGUGAUCCGGUGGUUCUGAAUGGAAGGGCCAUCGCUCAACGGAUAAAAGGUACUCCGGGGAUAACAGGCUGAUACCGCCCAAGAGUUCAUAUCGACGGCGGUGUUUGGCACCUCGAUGUCGGCUCAUCACAUCCUGGGGCUGAAGUAGGUCCCAAGGGUAUGGCUGUUCGCCAUUUAAAGUGGUACGCGAGCUGGGUUUAGAACGUCGUGAGACAGUUCGGUCCCUAUCUGCCGUGGGCGCUGGAGAACUGAGGGGGGCUGCUCCUAGUACGAGAGGACCGGAGUGGACGCAUCACUGGUGUUCGGGUUGUCAUGCCAAUGGCACUGCCCGGUAGCUAAAUGCGGAAGAGAUAAGUGCUGAAAGCAUCUAAGCACGAAACUUGCCCCGA
Molecule: ribosomal RNA, 1687 nt
Filed under: Salmonella enterica subsp. enterica serovar Senftenberg
Lineage: Bacteria; Pseudomonadati; Pseudomonadota; Gammaproteobacteria; Enterobacterales; Enterobacteriaceae
Description: partial 23S ribosomal RNA
Rfam family: Bacterial large subunit ribosomal RNA
Source: RNAcentral